This is a non-coding RNA of Chrysemys picta bellii (western painted turtle), 2989 nucleotides long. The record is from RefSeq and is a predicted model, not a curated record. Lineage: Eukaryota; Metazoa; Chordata; Testudines; Emydidae.
AGCACUGUAAUAUCUGAAUGCCUUCCAGUAAUGCACUAAGCAAUGUGACUAUGCAUCUGUGACAGGGUGUACCAGGCCUUUUGUGGCCUUGGUGGAGACCCUGUGAUCCUAAAAUAUCCUGCUCCAGGAAGGAGCAGCAGAGGUGGGUCCUCCAGGCCUCAUGGAAACAGUCAAUCAAAGGCCAGCUGUCUCAGAUAAAAGGAGCUGCAGGUCCUGAGCAGGCUAUUACCAUUUGAAUUUGUAGGAUGCCAGAGUUCUCCUGUUUUGGAUGAAACAUAGGUUUGCUCCUGGCAGCCUUGAAAGGAUGGAGACUUGAGGAGCAAACAUUAGAGUCAGAAAUUCUGCUAGAGCUUAUCCUGAGGAUAAUCCAUUCAACACUGUACUUGGCCAAGAGUCCGCUUUUGGCUCCGGAAUCUCUUCUAGCAGCAGUAUACAAGAGUCUAUGCGGAGGAAGAGAGAGUGCUGGGAAUUCCAAGGAAGGCUGUGAGCUAGGCUGGAUUCCCCCUGCUCAUGGUGUAGCAUCAUCCUAUAUUCAUCCCUCGGAAGAAGAGCCUACACUAUAUGUCCAUAACUCAAUGUAAGGCAUGAUAACCUGGUGUUCAGUAUGGGAAGGACACAAGCAAAAACAUAUAUACACUGAGGAUGCUUGCAACUGCUCCGCAGCUUGCUCAAAGGAGGCAACAGGGGGUAUAAGCACUACUCAUUGGUGGCCAAGUUGAAAUGUAGGAACAUGGGGCUUUUGCAUUGACAUGGGAAAAGACAUACUACUACCUGUCCUCUUAUGUCUGCCUAGGCACUUUAUGGGGCUCACCUCACUGGUGUAUCUGAGCUGUCAGAGCUGGAGAGGGUAUUAACCUAAAUGCAAAUUAAUGAAAGGAAUUGGAGGUGUUGGAUCCUCCUCAGUUUGUUUUGGAAUAUCAUGUACUUCCUCCCUCACCACCCAAGGAGAGGCUACUUGCCCUUUCUCAAGGAGAGGAAGUAAGGCCAUUUGUGGAAUAACAGCGCUUCCCUCAGCUGCUACACCUACUGAGCCUCUGCUGUUCAAAGGCCUGAACAACUACAGUGAGUGAAAGAGCAAGGAUCAAAUAGCUUGUUAAAUUUUCUUUCUAGUGUUUCAUCAAUCAUUGCGCUAAGGAUCCUGGUUUAUGAAAGAGAUUGUUCCAGACCUGGACCUUCCUGGAGGUCAAGGUUGUUUGGGUGGGUCUAGGAUUAGAUACAUAGGGGCCAAUUCAGAUCUCUUACACUGGGGUAAGAUAUUGAAGUGAACAGAUUUGCUCUGGUGUAAGUGAGGUUGGAAAUGGACCCAGAUGUUUCUUCAUACUUCAUGUACAUGCCAAGCCCGUUAUUCUAUCCAAUGCCAUAAAAAUGCCGAUAGAGCAAUUUUCCUUUGAAAACCAUGUCGAAAAAGGGAAAAUAUUCCAGAAAUCAAAAGCUCCCGCUGCACAAUGCCGUCAUUCCUUCUGACUUUUAUUGCUUUUCUUCUACUGCAGCUACAGAAAACUUAUUUAAACUAUGAAACUUCUUUGGCGUUUAUAUUGAUGCUUUAUAUUGAUGAAACAGAGCUGACUUUCUCUGGAGAACCAGAAUGUUAUCAAAGCACUUAACCUACCAUUGCUGUGGCUAUCAAUUAUACCCUUCAUUUACACUAUACAAGGCUGAUGGCUUAUUUGAAGUUCAGGAGGUUUUUAUAAUGAGAUGUUAAUUGAGUACACCUGCAGUUGGCUAAAAUUUUCAUGGACAAUUAAGUGUAAUCAUUUCAUUUCCCAAAUCUUUUCUGGUUUGCUAGAUUCCUACACUACAUUUCUGUAGGGGGUGGGUGGGGUGAAGGAUGAAUGUACAGUGCAAAUGUAAUCAAUGCCCACAACUUAUGAUCUGUGCUAUAAGUUUGACAUUAAUUCUUCUCCCUCCAUAUGAAUGGACUUGAUAUGAGCUGGAGACUCAUGACUUAGUAGUCUAAGCAGCUGCACUGAAACAGCUACACACUGUGCAACCAAAGGUUCAAACCCAGGCAGGACCAACUCAGCCUUUCUUCUGAGGCAGGUAUAUUGAGUACUUUUAAGGUCUCUUCAGAAAGAGACACAGAGCAAACUGCAAAGCCCAAGUCCUGUCUUUACUACAUAGAAGUUUGAAAAUUGGGUGGUACUACAAGAAAAUUAAAGAUUUUCCCUGCUGCCCUUGAUCAAAAGUCUCCCCACAACUGCAGAGCGUGCUGCCUGUCAUCCCGACUCAUUUGGCUGCUUUGCAGUGGAUCUGAACUGGCACCUCUCUAUUUUGUGUAGUCUUUGGGAUGGAAGGUGCUGUGAAAAGGCUACAUUUUAUUGCUCCAAAUAUUGAACUGCCACGUCUGACUGUACUGAACUUAUCAAAACAGGAGGUAAAAAUAGAAUCUGCUGUGCAGUGGUUUAUAUCAUGGGUUUAAGGCAUAAGCCAUUUGGCUCCAUCUUUCCUGGAUAAACUUUAUGAAAGCGCUACGGCCUUGAGUCUGAGCAAACAGUGGCAUUAUUCUUGCACAAGUAAAAAAAAAAAAAAAAAGAUCUGCCCUUAAUGCAGACGAAAUUUUAUUUCUGGACCUCCUGAGCAAUUCUGCAAUUCAUCACAUCUGAACGAGCUUGCCAUGAACUAAAAGGCGGGUGGGGGGAAUCAAGUCACCGGAGCAGAAAUAAAAUCAAAACACCACUUUAGUCUGUAAAAUGCCAGCUUCACACAGACAGAAACAUUAACAAGUUAGCUAAAGCAAACAAUUUCUUUAAGUAUCUAAGAGCUGCAUUUAAGGAAUUUCAGAGAAACUAAAAUUAAAAAAAAAUAGCCUCCAUUGGCAGGGAAUAGUCAAACCUUCCAUCUGUCCACCCCUUCAUUACCAGCUCAGAUGGUUAAAGUUCAAAAACAUUAGUGACUCCAACACUUGCUGCCUGGAAGAAUCUGUUAAUUCCAGGACUCCAGCUCUGAAAAUUAAUAACAUCUAUUUUAGACUUACCUGUAUCUAAUACAA